AUACGGAGGAUGCAAGCGUUAUCCGGAUUUAUUGGGUUUAAAGGGUGCGUAGGCGGUUUGCUAAGCGGGAGGUGAAAUGCCGGCGCUCAACGUCGGAAGUGCCUCCCGAACUGGUGGACUGGAAUGACUCUGCCGUGGGAGGAAUGUGUAGUGUAGCGGUGAAAUGCUUAGAGAUUACACAGAACACCGAUUGCGAAGGCAUCUCACGAAGGGUUGAUUGACGCUGAGGCACGAAAGCGUGGGGAUCAAACAGGGUUAGAUACCCUGGUAGUCCACGCAGUAAACGAUGAUGGCUAACCGCUGGUUUAUUCGGAUCAGUGGCCAAGCGAAAGCGAUAAGCCAUCCACCUGGGGAGUACGACCGCAAGGUUGAAACUCAAAUGAAUUGGCGGGG
RNAcentral lists this ribosomal RNA (393 nucleotides) under uncultured bacterium. Its description in RNAcentral is "partial 16S ribosomal RNA". It matches the Rfam family "Bacterial small subunit ribosomal RNA", at positions 523 to 918 of the family's 1533-position model. The record is from RNAcentral.